Molecule: ribosomal RNA, 838 nt
Filed under: uncultured bacterium
Lineage: Bacteria
Description: bacterial SSU rRNA
Rfam family: Bacterial small subunit ribosomal RNA
Source: RNAcentral
CUGGCGCGUGGAUUAGGCAUGCAAGUCGUGCGGAAAGGCCCCGCAAGGGGUACUCGAGCGGCGAAAGGGAUAGUAACACGUGGAUUACCUACCUCCAGGACGGGGAUAGCUGCGGGAAACUGCAAUUAAUACCCGAUGAUGUCUUCGGACCAAAGGUGUGAUUCCGCCUGGAGACGGGUCCGCGUCCUAUUAGCUAGUUGGCAGGGUAACGGCCUACCAAGGCUCAGAUGGGUAGCGGGUGUGAGAGCACGACCCGCAUCACUGGGACUGAGAUACUGCCCAGACACCUACGGGUGGCUGCAGUCGAGGAUCUUCGGUAAUGGGCGAAAGCCUGACCGAGCGACGCCGCGUGCGGGAUGAAGGCCUUCGGGUUGUAAACCGCUGUCAGUGGGGAGGAAAUACUAGGGGGAACACCCUCUAGUUUGACCUAUCCGCAGAGGAAGGACGGGCUAAGUUCGUGCCAGCAGCCGCGGUAAUACGAACCGUCCUAACGUUAUUCGGAAUCACUGGGCUUAAAGGGUGCGUAGGCGGCCCGAUAAGUUGGGUGUGAAAUCCCUCGGCUUAACCGAGGAAUAGCGCUCAAAACUGUCGGGCUCGAGGAAGAUAGAGGUAAGCGGAACUUAGGGUGGAGCGGUGAAAUGCGUUGAUAUCCUAAGGAACACCGGUGGCGAAAGCGGCUUACUGGGUCUUUACUGACGCUGAGGCACGAAAGCUAGGGUAGCGAACGGGAUUAGAUACCCCGGUAGUCCUAGCCGUAACGAUGAGCACUAGUCGGAGGAUACUCCAUAGUCUUCUGGCCGUAGCGAAAGUGUUAAGUGCUCCGCCUGGGGAGUAUGGU